RNAcentral lists this ribosomal RNA (492 nucleotides) under uncultured bacterium. RNAcentral describes it as "partial 16S ribosomal RNA". It matches the Rfam family "Bacterial small subunit ribosomal RNA", at positions 29 to 507 of the family's 1533-position model. The record is from RNAcentral.
AGUGAACGCUGGCGGUAGGCCUAACACAUGCAAGUCGAACGGCAGCACAGUAAGAGCUUGCUCUUACGGGUGGCGAGUGGCGGACGGGUGAGGAAUACAUCGGAAUCUACUUUUUCGUGGGGGAUAACGUAGGGAAACUUACGCUCAUACCGCAUACGCCCUACGGGUGAAAGCAGGGGAUCUUCGGACCUCGCGCGAAUGAAUGAGCCGAUGUCGGAUUAGCUAGUUGGCGGGGUAAAGGCCCACCAAGGCGACGAUCCGUAGCUGGUCUGAGAGGAUGAUCAGCGACACUGGAAGUGAGACACGGUCCAGACUCCUACGGGAGGCAGCAGUGGGGAAUAUUGGACAAUGGGCGCAAGCCUGAUCCAGCCAUACCGCGUGGGUGAAGAAGGCCUUCGGGUUGUAAAGCCCUUUUGUUGGGAAAGAAAAGCAGCAGGUUAAUACCCCGCUGUUCUGACGGUACCCAAAGAAUAAGCACCGGCUAACUUCGUG